RNAcentral lists this ribosomal RNA (467 nucleotides) under uncultured bacterium. Its description in RNAcentral is "partial 16S ribosomal RNA". It matches the Rfam family "Bacterial small subunit ribosomal RNA", at positions 28 to 507 of the family's 1533-position model. The record is from RNAcentral.
GACGAACGCUGGCGGCGUGCUUUACACAUGCAAGUCGAACGGAAAGGCUCCAGCUUGCUGGAGUGCUCGAGUGGCGAACGGGUGAGUAACACGUGGGCAAUCUGCCCUGCACUCUGGGAUAAGCCUGGGAAACUGGGUCUAAUACCGGAUAGGACCUUUCUCCUCAUGGGGUUUGGUGGAAAGUUUUUCGGUGCAGGAUGAGCCCGCGGCCUAUCAGCUUGUUGGUGGGGUAAUGGCCUACCAAGGCGACGACGGGUAGCCGGCCUGAGAGGGUGAUCGGCCACAUUGGGACUGAGAUACGGCCCAGACUCCUACGGGAGGCAGCAGUGGGGAAUAUUGCACAAUGGGCGAAAGCCUGAUGCAGCGACGCCGCGUGAGGGAUGACGGCCUUCGGGUUGUAAACCUCUUUCAGUAGGGACGAAGCGCAAGUGACGGUACCUGCAGAAGAAGCACCGGCUAACUACGUG